ACGCUUAUCUCUUUUUUUUUCCACAAUGGACUCAGCAGGGGAGGUGGGGCUACGGCAGGUAGAGAGAGUGAAGAGAGAGAGGGCAAGGGAAAAAAGCGGCGGCGGAAGCAGCCGGCCAAGGCCGCUUGCGACCGCCAGAGGCGGCAGCCACCGAUGGUUAGAGAAGGAGAGGAGCGCGAGAUAUACUAGGUGGCGUAGCUAAGUAGCUAGGGUAGGAGUACACCAACGGGCGUAGCCUAAAUGGGCAGAUCCCAAAGCCACGCCAGCUGAAGGAGUAGCGGCCGCUACGAGGCCGCGGAACCAGGCCAGCAGAAACAGAAGACAGCACGAGAGAGCACGACGAGACGAAGGAUUGUCGCGAGGGCACGGAGUCUACGUGCGGUCCCGCCGUGCCACUCGUCCACCCUCCUCUUCCGCCGCCGCUAAAGCUAGAUAACAAGACGCAACUGUGCCCUCCGCCAUCUCGCCAGACCUGCUCUAAGGACCACGGCCAAAGGAGUGGUACGACUCCGGUGGACGUAGCUCGUUACCAACUACGGUUCCGAAAUUCCUGGACAAGCCCAAGAGAGGCGAGGUGUUGAUGCCGAGGGUCUCGCCUCCCUCCCCGUCGUGUUUAGUCCCUCACCGAGUUUGGCUCCAGGAGCAGAGGAGAUGUCGAGCCUCGCCUCAAAACUCUAACCUCUCCAACGCUUGUCCGAGAUUCUUACCUGACGUCGAGACUGGGUUCGUCGCACUUCGAGGACUCAACGUAUAUCGUCUAGAGUUCUCUCUAUUACUCGCAAAUUCUUCCAACGUGUGCCUUUGGAAUAAGUUUAAGUGGUUGGUCCUCGUAUUUCCCUGUAGUUUAUUGAAUGCGUGCUGAUACUUUACGUGACUUUGAGGGACCUCUCGUUCGAGGCGACGUGAGAACAGGUCGUUCCGUGGCUACUUCCUAAGACAAAAACCCUCUGGACUAAUACCCCGGUUGUGCCAGUACGUUUAAAAAAACCGUCGUCUUCCAUUAGAUUAUAGUCCUUCCCCGUAGAGUGUUAUGACGUCGAUAAUUUUUCUUAGGUUUUGUCUCCGCAGAUCCUCUUGCUCGAAACAACGACAAGUAGAGGGUCCUACCAAUAACGGUUAAUGGUCUUGGUACAGUUCGUGUUAUUUGACUCCAGGAAAGUAUGAUGUACGGAAGAUAAAGUAAAGACGUAUAAACUCUCUCCACCCGUUGAGAGGGACUCGACGUACGAUAUACCGACCUUCGGUCUCGAGCCCGGGCUGCGGAGGCGAGCGGCAAAGGGUGCGGAGGCCGCGGGGACCACUAAAGGCACACCUAGUCCAGAAGUCCCACGGUUAUAAAAGCCUGCAUCAACCCGGUCGUUCGAGUCUAGACUUCCUCUCUUAACUGUACCCAUCGGCUGCUCUCCCGUUCUAAGCAUGCACCGCCACUUAAAUCUACCGCCGCCGUGGUCACGCCUGCUACGGUUAUCGUUCCUGUCGCUCGGCCGCAUCAGGCUUAUCACACCUCACUUAACUUCGGCCUAGGCGUUCGUAGGCUCACCUAAUUUCGCCCCCCACCUCCACUACGCUAGAUGAGCCCUUAUUCACUUACUAUAGUAAUACUACGGUUUAAUCAGGCGUUUAUGACGACGAAGAUCUUAGACUUACAUGGGCGAUACGUACAACGUCCGUUACUUGAUAAAAUGUUCUAUUUUAUAGUCCUUCCCCGUAGAGUAUUAUGACGUCGAUAAUUUUUCUUAGGUUUACUCGGGCGCCAUUCCUAAACCAAAUGUCACCAAUAUGAAAUAUAUAGUAGAGUUCCGUUGAAAUCGAGUAACCAAUUUAAACUAAGAGGCAAGUUAACCAAUUUAAACCAAGAGGGAAGUUCAAUCUACUCGGAGAGUAAUUAUAUUUAAGUCAGUAUCUUGUAAUAGUAAAUAUUCAAAAGAAAAAACAAUAUGUAACAAUUGACAUUCUAUAGGACUAAUGACAUGACAAAAUGAAACUACUCAGUGGUAGCAGCAGGUCUCUGUCCAGCCGUCCCCUCCGAUACUCCUUAACCCAUGUAGGUUUGAAGGGGACACUAUAGAAAUAAAAUAAGGAGUCAAAUUCCAGAGACAAUCACCUUAUAUAAAAGAACGUUUGACUUAACCAAAAGACCUUGUACAGAAGCAUAAAAACACAUACAGAACUCGUGAUAAGUAACCUAUAUGAAACAACGAAGGUCGGGUACCUAUUCUUAUAAAGUCAGCGACUUCUCUAACAACUUGUAUACUGUAACUACGUUUAGAGACCGGUGGAUGUUCACUUUGACGAACUUCUGGUUCAAGCUUAUACAUACUCGCGUCACUUCAAGCCGUACGUUCAGAUAAGCGUCAGAGCGUGGGAUUACAUUAGUCAGCUCAUCACUGCCCUUCCGCGGCGGCUGGUCCCACACCUCCUUCUACCCCAACUCGGCCCAACCACUUCCACAACACCGACCAGCAACCGGUUCGUCGGCGGAGAGGGAGCAGAAACUGUAGCACUUCUUACUACAACUUUACCUACGCACGACGUCCUCGUCGUCUCCGCAGCACACUCGGAACCCAAGAAGUAGUUAAGCAAGCACGCAAGGGAACCAGCGUACGCGCGGAGUCCUAGUCGAGCCUCAACUUAUGAAUUGACCAAGUCCUUUCGAAGUUUAUGUUAUCACCGUUUGUAGAGGUAACUACGAUGUUUCGUAGAGCUACUAAAACUUCGCUCAGAAGUACAAUUAAUGUAAUGAAAAACAUAGUACGGGAUAACUAGCUUUUCAAUGAAUCGGGAUUAGUAGGUACGAAUUAUUACUCCUAGCAAAACCCUAAAACAAAUCGAAAGGUUGUGAAGGUAUCAAAUAAUCAUGUCUCGAUCUAGAGAGUGACACGACUAGUGUGCAUUACUUCAGUAAAAUGAACCGAAAGAUCGUUGCCCAGUCGUUCACCCAGUACUACUUGGUUUAAUACAAGAGAGAGAACGUAUAUCUACGAGUGCUAAUAUGACUAGACUAGUUAACAUCCAAGGUAUCCUUGUGACUUGAACUAAAACAACGGAGGAGCAUCGUCCCGGUCCCUUCGUCACAGUUCACCUAGGACCUUCUCGUGACCACACCCUAGGCGACGACGGUCCAUACGAAAAGAAGGAAGGGCAGGAGAGCUAGGUGAAGGAGAGAAACAAAGACUUAAAACGUGAGUUUAACACUCCACUCCGAGUUUUUUAUGUCACCAAUGGCUGCCGCCGCUGCUGGUGCUUCUAACAGGGUCGUAGACCUUGUCACCUACGUAACUCGAGCUCUACUGCUAAUCGGUGAGGUAGGUACUAGUGACAAAAGGGGGAAGAAAAACACCUCUACUAAAGCGAUGAGAAAUAGUUACGACAUUAUUGGUUCCACGUACACACUGAGCAAGUUAGUUCACACAUUACUUGGGACGAAUUAUACGGAUACUACGUUAUGGUGAUG
RNAcentral lists this ribosomal RNA (3454 nucleotides) under Triticum aestivum (bread wheat). RNAcentral describes it as "partial small subunit ribosomal RNA". Lineage: Eukaryota; Viridiplantae; Streptophyta; Magnoliopsida; Poales; Poaceae. The record is from RNAcentral.